This is an RNA transcript of Tachysurus fulvidraco (yellow catfish), 702 nucleotides long. It is a transcript of the gene named C-type lectin lectoxin-Thr1-like, with no coding region annotated. Lineage: Eukaryota; Metazoa; Chordata; Actinopteri; Siluriformes; Bagridae. The record is from RefSeq and is a predicted model, not a curated record. The transcript has 3 exons.
AAAACAGCCUGCUCAGUCAGACAGCUCUCAGAAGAACAGUGAGGUGUGUUAGUGCUGCAAGACUGAUCAUCUACCUCCUUCAGACUUUAGUGAAUCCUCCAGCAACACAUAAGCAAUGAAGCAUCAUCUUUUUGUGCUCCUGCUUUUCACAGGAGUCCUUACCCUUGUCCUGUCUUUCUCUCGUAAGUACUAUCUGAUCCAGCAGAGCAAAACAUGGAACGAUGCUAAGGCUUUCUGCCGAGCCACAUACACUGACCUGGCUAUCAUCAAAACUAAUGAAGAGAUCGCCCAAAUUCAGAACGUAUCACAGACACAACAAUUCAAAUCUAAUGCUUGGAUUGGACUGUACACUAACAUCAACAAGUGGCAAUGGACAUUGGACAAUGAGCCGCUUGGAAGCUUUAAACCUUGGGCUAAUGGGGAGCCUGAUAACUGGCUAGUAAAUGAACGUUGUGUCGGUAUUGGCUCGAUGGUCUGGUAUGAUGCAAGAUGUGAAUGGCAGAGACCAUUUGUGUGCUUUGAUGGUGAGGAAGAACAUGUUAUUUUAUAUUAACUAUUUAUGGAAUAUUAUGAAUAAUAAACUUUAGUAAUAUGAGUAUUUUAUACAUGAGAGUUUAAAAUCUCAGUGAAUUAUAUAUAUGCUAAAGUGUGUCAGGCUUGAAAAUUUGUGUGGGGAAGGAGACCAGAGGAGGCAGGCUUUGG